Molecule: ribosomal RNA, 187 nt
Filed under: uncultured bacterium
Lineage: Bacteria
Description: partial 16S ribosomal RNA
Rfam family: Bacterial small subunit ribosomal RNA
Source: RNAcentral
GACUACAUGAAGCCGGAAUCGCUAGUAAUGGCAGGUCAGCAUACUGCCGUGAAUACGUUCCCGGGCCUUGUACACACCGCCCGUCACACCAUGAGAGUUGGAAAUACCCGAAGCCUGUGAGCUAACUUAAGGGAGGCAGCAGUCGAAGGUAGAGCCAAUGAUUGGGGUGAAGUCGUAACAAGGUAGC